Molecule: ribosomal RNA, 449 nt
Filed under: uncultured bacterium
Lineage: Bacteria
Description: partial 16S ribosomal RNA
Rfam family: Bacterial small subunit ribosomal RNA
Source: RNAcentral
CCCAGACUCCUACGGGAGGCAGCAGUGGGGAAUAUUGGACAAUGGGGGGAACCCUGAUCCAGCGACGCCGCGUGAGUGAAGAAGUAUUUCGGUAUGUAAAGCUCUCUUAGCAGGGAAGAAAGAAAUGACGGUACCUGACUAAGAAGCCCCGGCUAACUACGUGCCAGCAGCCGCGGUAAUACGUAGGGGGCAAGCGUUAUCCGGAUUUACUGGGUGUAAAGGGGGCGCAGACGGCAGCGCAAGCCAGGAGGGAAAGCCCGGGGCCCAACCCCGGGACUGCUCUUGGAACUGCGCGGCUGGAGUGCAGGAGGGGCAGGCGGAAUUCCUGGUGUAGCGGUGAAAUGCGUAGAUAUCAGGAGGAACACCGGUGGCGAAGGCGGCCUGCUGGACUGCGACUGACGUUGAGGCCCGAAAGCGUGGGGAGCAAACAGGAUUAGAUACCCCCGUAA